UGGAUGUAUACGUGCAAAUCACAGGGCAUA
RNAcentral lists this non-coding RNA (30 nucleotides) under Homo sapiens (human). The record is from RNAcentral. Lineage: Eukaryota; Metazoa; Chordata; Mammalia; Primates; Hominidae.